This 487-nucleotide ribosomal RNA is filed under the name uncultured bacterium. RNAcentral's name for it is "partial 16S ribosomal RNA". It matches the Rfam family "Bacterial small subunit ribosomal RNA", at positions 28 to 507 of the family's 1533-position model. The record is from RNAcentral.
GACGAACGCUGGCGGCGUGCUUAACACAUGCAAGUCGAACGGGCUCUGUCUGGCUGUGUGCUGGGUGGGGUUAGUGGCGAACGGGUGAGUAAUACGUGAGUAACCUGCCCUCUUCUUUGGGAUAAGCCUUGGAAACGGGGUCUAAUACUGGAUAUUCCUGUCUGGUCGCAUGGCUGGGUGGGGAAAGUUUUUUUCGGUGGGGGAUGGGCUCGCGGCCUAUCAGCUUGUUGGUGGGGUGAUGGCCUACCAAGGCGUCGACGGGUAGCCGGCCUGAGAGGGUGACCGGCCACACUGAGACUGGGAUACGGCCCAGACUCCUACGGGAGGCAGCAGUGGGGGGUAUUGCACAGUGGGCGCAAGCCUGAUGCAGCGACGCCGCGUGGGGGAUGACGGCUUUCGGGUUGUAAACCUCUUUCGUCGGGGGACAAGGCUCUGCUUGGUGGUGGGGUUGAGGGUACCCGGUGAAGAAGCGCCGGCUAACUACGUG